CAGAACUAACAGGAUCCCCAUAGUAAUGGCGAAUGAACAGGGAUGAGCUCAGCAUGGAAAUUGGGGCCUGUGGCUUUGACUUGUAAUCUUGUGAGGCAUUGCCAACAGAGGCGCAGAUGUAAGUCUCUUGGAAAAGAGCAUCAAUGAGGGUGAGAGUCCUGCUUGUCAUUUGCAGCCCCCCUGUGCACGGUGUGCCUUCUAAGAGUCACGUUCCUCGGGAUUGGAGCGCAAAGUGGGUGGUAACUUUCAUCUGAAGCUAAACAAUGGUUUGGGACCGAUAGGAAACAAGUACCAUGAGGGAAAGGUGAAAAGGACUUUGGAAAGAGAGUUAAAAGUGCCUGAAAUUGCUGAAGGGGAAGCGAAUGGAACCAGUGGUGCUGGGUGAGAUUGUCACAUGCUCCAGGGAUUGGUUGCUGCAUCAGCGCAAGCGAUCUGGCAAUUGUUGAACUGCACGUGUGUGGUGUGUCUUGCCUUGUGUGUCAUUGUGGGUUUAUGCAUUAAGACAAUUCAAAGUGCAUGGCAAUAUGUUUCUGAAUCUAUGAAUGUGAUUUGUUAUGUUUAUGCAUAAGCUUCUUGCUGUCUGUCUGGCUGCAGAGCUCGCCGUCCCCAUUUUUUGGAGAGAUGAGUUGAGCAUUUCCUUCUGCACAGAUCUUGGCUAAAUC
RNAcentral lists this ribosomal RNA (662 nucleotides) under Ornithocercus thumii. Its description in RNAcentral is "LSU rRNA". It matches the Rfam family "Eukaryotic large subunit ribosomal RNA", at positions 56 to 618 of the family's 3401-position model. The record is from RNAcentral. Lineage: Eukaryota; Dinophyceae; Dinophysales; Dinophysaceae.